RNAcentral lists this ribosomal RNA (426 nucleotides) under uncultured Chamaesiphon sp. RNAcentral describes it as "bacterial SSU rRNA". It matches the Rfam family "Bacterial small subunit ribosomal RNA", at positions 355 to 795 of the family's 1533-position model. The record is from RNAcentral. Lineage: Bacteria; Bacillati; Cyanobacteriota; Cyanophyceae; Gomontiellales; Chamaesiphonaceae.
UGGGGAAUUUUCCGCAAUGGGCGCAAGCCUGACGGAGCAAUACCGCGUGAGGGAGGAAGGCUCUUGGGUCGUAAACCUCUUUUCUCAGGGAAGAACACAAUGACGGUACCUGAGGAAUCAGCAUCGGCUAACUCCGUGCCAGCAGCCGCGGUAAUACGGAGGAUGCAAGCGUUAUCCGGAAUGAUUGGGCGUAAAGCGUCCGUAGGUGGUUUUGUAAGUCUGUGGUUAAAGCGCGAAGCUCAACUUCGUAAGGGCCAUGGAAACUACAUAACUUGAGUGAAGUAGGGGUAGAGGGAAUUCCCAGUGUAGCGGUGAAAUGCGUAGAGAUUGGGAAGAACACCGGUGGCGAAAGCGCUCUACUGGACUUAUACUGACACUGAGGGACGAAAGCUAGGGGAGCGAAAGGGAUUAGAUACCCCUGUAGUC